Oxyura jamaicensis (ruddy duck) is the source of this 691-nucleotide long non-coding RNA. RefSeq lists it as uncharacterized. The transcript has 2 exons. NCBI's taxonomy places the organism in Eukaryota, Metazoa, Chordata, Aves, Anseriformes, Anatidae. The record is from RefSeq and is a predicted model, not a curated record.
CUCUGAUAGUGUGCCUGGGGCUCAUAUACCAUUUUUGCUCUCAUCCCCUCCUUUACCUCAGCUGCUUACCUACCCCACAUGGCAGAUGCUUCCAUCUGUUCUCUUAAACCACCUAUAGCACCUCUAAAAGGCAAACUGGAAUUUUACUCUAUUUGAGGUAGUAAAAUAACUGUAGUGACAACCGCACCCAAACAUAACAGCUGCCUCUGUUCAUUACUCACCAGAGUCACUCCAGAGGCAGCUCGGGUCGUGACAUUCUAUACCGCGCACUGCAUUUCAGCCUGAACAAAAGAAAACCCAGCCAGAAGAUAAACAUUCAGCUGCCAGCAUCAGCACCCAUCCCUCAACAACAUAAGUGACCCCAUAUUCAAUUUUAUCAUUUUAAAACAGCAUUCCACUUGCCUCUGUACCUGGAAAUUAGAUCAAAGCUCAAAAGGUAAAAAGGAGUAGACAGCAUCACCCAUGCCACCUGGGAACACAAAAAGACAAAAUGACCACUGUGCUUGCAGGCAACACCUGCCACACUGCUCCUCUAUCCCAAACAGCCUCACCUCAGACCCUUAAAGGGAAACACCUGAACAUCUUCCCUUUGCUUUGGAUAAGGGACGACCAGGCUGACAACAUUCUCACCUUCCCUCGCUGUGCCAUGACACGGUGAUUUCCCUGUUCAAGACCGCACAAAGCACCUGCA